GAAUGCUGACAUAAGUAACGAUAAAGCGGGUGAAAAGCCCGCUCGCCGGAAGACCAAGGGUUCCUGUCCAACGUUAAUCGGGGCAGGGUGAGUCGACCCCUAAGGCGAGGCCGAAAGGCGUAGUCGAUGGGAAACGGGUUAAUAUUCCCGUACUUGGUGUUACUGCGAAGGGGGGACGGAGAAGGCUAUGUUGGCCGGGCGACGGUUGUCCCGGUUUAAGCGUGUAGGUGUGUGUUCCAGGUAAAUCCGGUUCACUUUAACACUGAGGCGUGACGACGAGGCACUACGGUGCUGAAGCAACAAAUGCCCUGCUUCCAGGAAAAGCCUCUAAGCAUCAGGUAACAUCAAAUCGUACCCCAAACCGACACAGGUGGUCAGGUAGAGAAUACCAAGGCGCUUGAGAGAACUCGGGUGAAGGAACUAGGCAAAAUGGUGCCGUAACUUCGGGAGAAGGCACGCUGACACGUAGGUGAAGUGAUUUACUCAUGGAGCUGAAGUCAGUCGAAGAUACCAGCUGGCUGCAACUGUUUAUUAAAAACACAGCACUGUGCAAACACGAAAGUGGACGUAUACGGUGUGACGCCUGCCCGGUGCCGGAAGGUUAAUUGAUGGGGUCAGCGCAAGCGAAGCUCCUGAUCGAAGCCCCGGUAAACGGCGGCCGUAACUAUAACGGUCCUAAGGUAGCGAAAUUCCUUGUCGGGUAAGUUCCGACCUGCACGAAUGGCGUAAUGAUGGCCAGGCUGUCUCCACCCGAGACUCAGUGAAAUUGAACUCGCUGUGAAGAUGCAGUGUACCCGCGGCAAGACGGAAAGACCCCGUGAACCUUUACUAUAGCUUGACACUGAACAUUGAGCCUUGAUGUGUAGGAUAGGUGGGAGGCUUUGAAGCGUGGACGCCAGUCUGCGUGGAGCCGACCUUGAAAUACCACCCUUUAAUGUUUGAUGUUCUAACGUGGACCCGUAAUCCGGGUUGCGGACAGUGUCUGGUGGGUAGUUUGACUGGGGCGGUCUCCUCCUAAAGAGUAACGGAGGAGCACGAAGGUUGGCUAAUCCUGGUCGGACAUCAGGAGGUUAGUGCAAUGGCAUAAGCCAGCUUGACUGCGAGCGUGACGGCGCGAGCAGGUGCGAAAGCAGGUCAUAGUGAUCCGGUGGUUCUGAAUGGAAGGGCCAUCGCUCAACGGAUAAAAGGUACUCCGGGGAUAACAGGCUGAUACCGCCCAAGAGUUCAUAUCGACGGCGGUGUUUGGCACCUCGAUGUCGGCUCAUCACAUCCUGGGGCUGAAGUAGGUCCCAAGGGUAUGGCUGUUCGCCAUUUAAAGUGGUACGCGAGCUGGGUUUAGAACGUCGUGAGACAGUUCGGUCCCUAUCUGCCGUGGGCGCUGGAGAACUGAGGGGGGCUGCUCCUAGUACGAGAGGACCGGAGUGGACGCAUCACUGGUGUUCGGGUUGUCAUGCCAAUGGCACUGCCCGGUAGCUAAAUGCGGAAGAGAUAAGUGCUGAAAGCAUCUAAGCACGAAACUUGCCCCGAGAUGAGUUCUCCCUGAGACUUAGAGUCUCCUGAAGGAACGUUGAAGACGACGACGUUGAUAGGCCGGGUGUGUAAGCGCAGCGAUGCGUUGAGCUAACCGGUACUAAUGAACCGUGAGGCUUAACCUUACAACGCCGAAG
This 1667-nucleotide ribosomal RNA is filed under the name Salmonella enterica subsp. enterica serovar Hvittingfoss. RNAcentral describes it as "partial 23S ribosomal RNA". It matches the Rfam family "Bacterial large subunit ribosomal RNA", at positions 1292 to 2925 of the family's 2925-position model. Lineage: Bacteria; Pseudomonadati; Pseudomonadota; Gammaproteobacteria; Enterobacterales; Enterobacteriaceae. The record is from RNAcentral.